This 253-nucleotide ribosomal RNA is filed under the name uncultured bacterium. RNAcentral's name for it is "partial 16S ribosomal RNA". It matches the Rfam family "Bacterial small subunit ribosomal RNA", at positions 524 to 776 of the family's 1533-position model. The record is from RNAcentral.
UACGUAGGGGUCGAGCGUUGUCCGGAGUUACUGGGCGUAAAGCGCGCGCAGGCGGCUCGUCAAGCCUGACGUGAAAGCCCCCGGCUCAACCGGGGAGGGUCGUCGGGGACUGGCGGGCUUGAGGUCGGCAGGGGUUGGUGGAAUUCCCGGUGUAGUGGUGAAAUGCGUAGAGAUCGGGAGGAACACCCGUGGCGAAGGCGGCCAACUGGGCCGGACCUGACGCUGAGGCGCGAAGGCGUGGGGAGCGAACGGG